GUGUCAGCAGCCGCGGUAAUACGUAGGGUGCAAGCGUUGUCCGGAAUUAUUGGGCGUAAAGAGCUCGUAGGCGGUCUGUCGCGUCGGAUGUGAAAACCCAGGGCUCAACCCUGGGCCUGCAUUCGAUACGGGCAGACUAGAAUUCGGUAGGGGAGUCUGGAAUUCCUGGUGUAGCGGUGAAAUGCGCAGAUAUCAGGAGGAACACCGGUGGCGAAGGCGGGACUCUGGGCCGAUAUUGACGCUGAGGAGCGAAAGCGUGGGGAGCGAACAGGAUUAGAUACCCCUGUAGUCC
Molecule: ribosomal RNA, 292 nt
Filed under: uncultured bacterium
Lineage: Bacteria
Description: partial 16S ribosomal RNA
Rfam family: Bacterial small subunit ribosomal RNA
Source: RNAcentral